ACGCUCGACACCUACGGGAGGCAGCAGUGGGGAAUAUUGCACAAUGGGGGAAACCCUGAUGCAGCGACGCCGCGUGAGUGAGGAAGUAUUUCGGUAUGUAAAGCUCUAUCAGCAGGGAAGAAGAUGACGGUACCUGAGUAAGAAGCCCCGGCUAACUACGUGUCAGCAGCCGCGGUAAUCUGAGCGGGCUGGCAAGGC
This 198-nucleotide ribosomal RNA is filed under the name uncultured bacterium. RNAcentral describes it as "partial 16S ribosomal RNA". It matches the Rfam family "Bacterial small subunit ribosomal RNA", at positions 328 to 539 of the family's 1533-position model. The record is from RNAcentral.